UCUGAUAGCCAGUCGUUAGAUCUUUAGAA
Molecule: non-coding RNA, 29 nt
Filed under: Rattus norvegicus (Norway rat)
Lineage: Eukaryota; Metazoa; Chordata; Mammalia; Rodentia; Muridae
Source: RNAcentral